GAUGAAGAACGUAGCGAAAUGCGAUAAGUAAUGUGAAUUGCAGAAUUCAGUGAAUCAUCGAAUCUUUGAACGCACCUUGCGCCCUUUGGCCAUUCUGAAGGGCAUGCCUGUUUGAGUAUCAUGAACACCUCAACUCUUCAUGGUUUUCCGUGAUGAGCUUGGACUUUGGGGGUCUUGCUGGCCUAUGGUCAGCUCCUCUAAAAUAAAUCAGCUUGCCAGUGUUUGGUGGGUAUCACAGGUGUGAUAACUAUCUACGCUUGUGGUUUUCCACCAGGUAACCUUCAGCAGUGGAGGUUCGCUGGAGCUCACAGAUGUGUCUCUCCUCAGUGAGGACAGCUCUUUGAAUGUUUGAUCUCAAAUCAGGUAGGACUACCCGCUGAACUUAAGCAUAUCAAUAAGCGGAGGA
Molecule: unclassified non-coding RNA, 406 nt
Filed under: soil metagenome
Description: partial contains 5.8S ribosomal RNA, internal transcribed spacer 2, and large subunit ribosomal RNA
Rfam family: 5.8S ribosomal RNA (bases 1-121)
Source: RNAcentral